RNAcentral lists this transfer RNA (79 nucleotides) under Nemania serpens. RNAcentral describes it as "tRNA-Met". It matches the Rfam family "tRNA". Rfam says of the family: Transfer RNA (tRNA) molecules are approximately 80 nucleotides in length. Their secondary structure includes four short double-helical elements and three loops (D, anti-codon, and T loops). The record is from RNAcentral. Lineage: Eukaryota; Fungi; Ascomycota; Sordariomycetes; Xylariales; Xylariaceae.
GGGCAUGUGUUGUAACUGGUAACACCCGGGACUCAUUAUCUGGCACCCGGAGUUGUCGGUUCGAUCCCGACCAUGUCCA